Molecule: long non-coding RNA, 356 nt
Filed under: Piliocolobus tephrosceles (Ugandan red Colobus)
Lineage: Eukaryota; Metazoa; Chordata; Mammalia; Primates; Cercopithecidae
Description: lncRNA (ENSPTEG00000007844.1)
Source: RNAcentral
CUGGACAAUGUCUGAGAUUCUGCAGUUCCAACAAACUCUCAGGUGAUGCCCAUGAGGCUAAUAUGGAAACGGAUACGUGAGAUGUUUUCUUCCUAAUUUGUAAUACAAUGUGUCUCAACAGGGGGAAUGAGGACGGGGGAGAAAAGAAGGUGUGGAUAAAAUGUACAGAUUUCAUAUGCCCUUUGGGUGAUUCCAAUAUUCUUGUCGUCUUAAGAACCACAGAAUGACACAGGAAAUAAAUGUAGCCAAGUCCCAAAUUUGAUCCCAGGGGAAAAUAAAAGUGCCAUGUGAAAAAGAAGAGAGAUUACAGGUUUAGGAGAGAAGCGAUCAUUGGCAGAACAAGAUCCUAUGGAAGG